GACGAACGCUGGCGGCGUGCUUAACACAUGCAAGUCGAACGGAAAGGCCCUGCUUUUGUGGGGUGCUCGAGUGGCGAACGGGUGAGUAACACGUGAGUAACCUGCCCUUGACUUUGGGAUAACUUCAGGAAACUGGGGCUAAUACCGGAUAGGAGCUCCUGCUGCAUGGUGGGGGUUGGAAAGUUUCGGCGGUUGGGGAUGGACUCGCGGCUUAUCAGCUUGUUGGUGGGGUAGUGGCUUACCAAGGCUUUGACGGGUAGCCGGCCUGAGAGGGUGACCGGCCACAUUGGGACUGGGCUACGGCCCAGACUCCUCCGGGAGGCAGCAGUGGGGAAUAUUGCACAAUGGGCGGAAGCCUGAUGCAGCAACGCCGCGUGCGGGAUGACGGCCUUCGGGUUGUAAACCGCUUUCGCCUGUGACGAAGCGUGAGUGACGGUAAUGGGUAAAGAAGCACCGGCUAACUACGUG
RNAcentral lists this ribosomal RNA (468 nucleotides) under uncultured bacterium. RNAcentral describes it as "partial 16S ribosomal RNA". It matches the Rfam family "Bacterial small subunit ribosomal RNA", at positions 28 to 507 of the family's 1533-position model. The record is from RNAcentral.